AGAGUUUGAUCAUGGCUCAGGACGAACGCUGGCGGCACGCUUAACACAUGCAAGUCGAACGAGAGAAGAGGAGCUUGCUUUUCUGAUCUAGUGGCGGACGGGUGGGUAACACGUGAGCAAUCUGCCUUUCAGAGGGGGAUACCGAUUGGAAACGAUCGUUAAUACCGCAUAACAUAAUUGAACCGCAUGAUUUGAUUAUCAAAGAUUUAUCGCUGAAAGAUGAGCUCGCGUCUGAUUAGCUAGUUGGUAAGGUAACGGCUUACCAAGGCGACGAUCAGUAGCCGGACUGAGAGGUUGAUCGGCCACAUUGGGACUGAGACACGGCCCAGACUCCUACGGGAGGCAGCAGUGGGGAAUAUUGCACAAUGGAGGAAACUCUGAUGCAGCGAUGCCGCGUGAGGGAAGAAGGUUUUAGGAUUGUAAACCUCUGUCUUCAGGGACGAAAAAAGACGGUACCUGAGGAGGAAGCUCCGGCUAACUACGUGCCAGCAGCCGCGGUAAUACGUAGGGAGCGAGCGUUGUCCGGAAUUACUGGGUGUAAAGGGAGCGUAGGCGGGAUCGCAAGUCAGAUGUGAAAACUAUGGGCUUAACCCAUAAACUGCAUUUGAAACUGUGGUUCUUGAGUGAAGUAGAGGUAAGCGGAAUUCCUAGUGUAGCGGUGAAAUGCGUAGAUAUUAGGAGGAACAUCAGUGGCGAAGGCGGCUUACUGGGCUUUAACUGACGCUGAGGCUCGAAAGCGUGGGGAGCAAACAGGAUUAGAUACCCUGGUAGUCCACGCCGUAAACGAUGAUUACUAGGUGUGGGGGGACUGACCCCUUCCGUGCCGCAGCAAACGCAAUAAGUAAUCCACCUGGGGAGUACGACCGCAAGGUUGAAACUCAAAGGAAUUGACGGGGGCCCGCACAAGCAGUGGAGUAUGUGGAUUAAUUCGAAGCAACGCGAAGAACCUUACCAGGUCUUGACAUCGUAUGCAUAGCUCAGAGAUGAGUGAAAUCUCUUCGGAGACAUAUAGACAGGUGGUGCAUGGUUGUCGUCAGCUCGUGUCGUGAGAUGUUGGGUUAAGUCCCGCAACGAGCGCAACCCUUACUGUUAGUUGCUACGCAAGAGCACUCUAGCAGGACUGCCGUUGACAAAACGGAGGAAGGUGGGGAUGACGUCAAAUCAUCAUGCCCCUUAUGACCUGGGCCUCACACGUACUACAAUGGCUGUCAACAGAGGGAAGCAAAGCCGCGAGGUGGAGCGAACCCCUAAAAGCAGUCUUAGUUCGGAUUGUAGGCUGCAACCCGCCUACAUGAAGUCGGAAUUGCUAGUAAUCGCAGAUCAGCAUGCUGCGGUGAAUACGUUCCCGGGCCUUGUACACACCGCCCGUCACGCCAUGGGAGUCGGUAACACCCGAAGCCUGUAGUCUAACCGCAAGGAGGACGCAGUCGAAGGUGGGAUUGAUGACUGGGGUGAAGUCGUAACAAGGUA
RNAcentral lists this ribosomal RNA (1470 nucleotides) under metagenome. Its description in RNAcentral is "bacterial SSU rRNA". It matches the Rfam family "Bacterial small subunit ribosomal RNA". The record is from RNAcentral.